This 547-nucleotide ribosomal RNA is filed under the name Escherichia coli. RNAcentral describes it as "partial 23S ribosomal RNA". It matches the Rfam family "Bacterial large subunit ribosomal RNA", at positions 711 to 1255 of the family's 2925-position model. The record is from RNAcentral. Lineage: Bacteria; Pseudomonadati; Pseudomonadota; Gammaproteobacteria; Enterobacterales; Enterobacteriaceae.
AGACCCGAAACCCGGUGAUCUAGCCAUGGGCAGGUUGAAGGUUGGGUAACACUAACUGGAGGACCGAACCGACUAAUGUUGAAAAAUUAGCGGAUGACUUGUGGCUGGGGGUGAAAGGCCAAUCAAACCGGGAGAUAGCUGGUUCUCCCCGAAAGCUAUUUAGGUAGCGCCUCGUGAAUUCAUCUCCGGGGGUAGAGCACUGUUUCGGCAAGGGGGUCAUCCCGACUUACCAACCCGAUGCAAACUGCGAAUACCGGAGAAUGUUAUCACGGGAGACACACGGCGGGUGCUAACGUCCGUCGUGAAGAGGGAAACAACCCAGACCGCCAGCUAAGGUCCCAAAGUCAUGGUUAAGUGGGAAACGAUGUGGGAAGGCCCAGACAGCCAGGAUGUUGGCUUAGAAGCAGCCAUCAUUUAAAGAAAGCGUAAUAGCUCACUGGUCGAGUCGGCCUGCGCGGAAGAUGUAACGGGGCUAAACCAUGCACCGAAGCUGCGGCAGCGACACUGUGUGUUGUUGGGUAGGGGAGCGUUCUGUAAGCCUGUGAAG